RNAcentral lists this ribosomal RNA (484 nucleotides) under uncultured bacterium. Its description in RNAcentral is "partial 16S ribosomal RNA". It matches the Rfam family "Bacterial small subunit ribosomal RNA", at positions 30 to 507 of the family's 1533-position model. The record is from RNAcentral.
AUUGAACGCUGGCGGCAGGCCUAACACAUGCAAGUCGAGCGGAUGAAGGGAGCUUGCUCCUGGAUUCAGCGGCGGACGGGUGAGUAAUGCCUAGGAAUCUGCCUGGUAGUGGGGGAUAACGUCCGGAAACGGGCGCUAAUACCGCAUACGUCCUGAGGGAGAAAGUGGGGGAUCUUCGGACCUCACGCUAUCAGAUGAGCCUAGGUCGGAUUAGCUAGUUGGUGGGGUAAAGGCCUACCAAGGCGACGAUCCGUAACUGGUCUGAGAGGAUGAUCAGUCACACUGGAACUGAGACACGGUCCAGACUCCUACGGGGGGCCGCAGUGGGGAAUAUUGGACGAUGGGCGAAAGCCUGAUCCAGCCAUGCCGCGUGUGUGAAGAAGGUCUUCGGAUUGUAAAGCACUUUAAGUUGGGAGGAAGGGCAGUAAGUUAAUACCUUGCUGUUUUGACGUUACCAACAGAAUAAGCACCGGCUAACCUCGUG